UUAACCUUCGGGAGGACGCUUGCCACUUUGUGGUUCAUGACUGGGGUGAAGUCGUAACAAGGUAGCGCUAGGGGAACCUGGCGCUGGAUCACCUCCUUAUACGAUGAU
Molecule: ribosomal RNA, 108 nt
Filed under: Vibrio cholerae
Lineage: Bacteria; Pseudomonadati; Pseudomonadota; Gammaproteobacteria; Vibrionales; Vibrionaceae
Description: partial 16S ribosomal RNA
Rfam family: Bacterial small subunit ribosomal RNA
Source: RNAcentral